GAUGGAUGAAUCCAGGACCAAGGUGCUGGAUUACGCGAUGAAUACUGCCGGAUGAAAAUCAGCUGCAGCUCCCUUAUACAUUGAUCAGUAAAUGCUAGAUGAUGAUCCACAUGUAAACCAAUGGCGCUGAUAAGCAUACCACUGAACGUCAUGCAUCAAAGAAGCUUUUCGGUAUGUUCCUCCUUCUCUCGUUACCUCCACGGCUCCACCCACAAACCCUAGCCCCCCAAAUCCCAUAGUCGAUGCACUUCUCCCUCCCUCGUCAGACAGCCGCCACAUCCCUCCCUCGUCUCUCCCUCGUCAACACAGCCACGCCUCCAACCUCCCUUCCUCGUUACCACGGCAAACCAGCUCCCAUGGCGGCGACAGGGGCGAGGCGGGCGCGGGGGCUGCGGGCGGAAGCAACAGGGGUUGAUGGAGGGUCGGGGAGGGGCGGUUGUAGGCGGGUUCGGCGGUUGGGGGCGAGCACCGGACAGGCAGAGGGAGCGUCUUGGUCGAGGGACAGCGAGGCUCGUCGGCUGGGCGACUUCGAGCGCUGGACAGGCAGAGGGAACGACUUGGUCGAGGGACGGCGAGGCUCGCUGGCUUGGCGACGCGAGUGCCAGACAGUCAGAGGGGCUUGGCCGAGGGAUCAAGGAUUCGUGCAACUCUUCCAAUAGGAGGAUAGAACACAUGCACAAAACUUCGAAAGCCACAAAACCUGGGCGGAAAUCAUGGACUACACGUUGGUCAAUAUUGUGCAGGCAACCAGUUGCCACAAUCGAACACAAUAAGCAUCACGGGAGCCUCCUCGUCGUCGGCGAUUCUCCGGCGCCUUUGUCUGGUCAUCUCUGGCUCCUGCCGUGCUCUCUGGUGCUCCUUUGCCUCAUGGAUGGCGCUCCCAUGCCUCGGACGCACGCCCCCUCUCCCCCGAGCUCCAGAUGGGAAGCAGCGGCCCCCCCUCUCCCCCGAGCUCGGGAUCCAUUGCAGCAACGGCAAGGCAGUGAAAGUUUGCAGUCGAUGCCAUCUAAGUAGGAUUCUGGGUUGAUUUCAGAGGAGAUCAAUUAUUGUGAGAAGAUGAAGAAGCUGAGAGUUGAUACGGACUAUUUGUGAAAGCAAGUUUAGGAGCUCAAAGCCAACAACAAGUCAACAACCAAGGCUUUGAAAAAGACAUCGACCCGCGACACCGGUAAGGCCACAACAUCCAUUACUGCUAUGACUGUUGACUGAGGUGGGAAAGCAUGGAGCCUUCCUUCUACUGGUAUAGUUUGGUUUUCUUAUGCCCAUAGUUUUUUUUAGUCAUGUUCGUGUGGAGGAUGGAGUCAACGCUAGGCACAUGGUUGAUGGAGAAGGACAAGAGGAUGAAGCUCUGACUUGCUUUUCCUAUGAUUUGUUGAGCCAAUAUAUCGAGGCUUUCCUUUGCUGUUGAAAUCUCUAUAGAAUUUCAUAGAAGUAAUGCAUGUCCAGAUGAUUGGUCGGAGUAUGCAUAUCUUUGGACCCUUCCUCCUUGCGGGCCUCUCCACUAAAGACUGGGAGGCAAGAACCAGCGCCACCGCCAUGUCUGUUGGUGAUGCUCACGCUGGAAACCAGAGGUAGCAUCUUGGUCUUGUCCAUGCGAGCACCACAUCUCUGACAAUGCUGCCGCGACCAGAGGGCGGCGAGCUGAUCCCCCAUGGCUCCUCGCCGACGUAUGACAACACCCACCUCCAUGCUAAUCGAGCUUUUUGACUUGUCCAGCAUGAUCUGAGACGCCGUCUCCACUUCAGUUCAUUGGAGAUUGUAAUAUUGAUCUUAGUUCAGUUCAGUCUAUUAUGUGACCUCACUUUGUUAUCUAUGAUUUCCUUCAUUUCUUUGUUUUGGCACAUGUCCAUUAAUUUGUAUAGUGGAGCGGAUGACCAAAUUAUUGGAACCUUCCCAUGCUUUCCAGGGAAGUUGUUUGUUAGCUCUGCCCCAAACGUUGACAAGCCAGAUUUGGGCUUAUUUCUUCAGCUUUGCUGCACUGCAGCCUGAUAGUAUUUUUUUGUUGCUUGAUGCUUCAUUUUCCUACUUCUUCCUCUUAAUGUGACCUUUUGAUGCAGGGUGAUGUUUCUUUAUAUGCCCCUCGAGGGAUGAGGCCGGCAAGCCGGUGAAUGCUUAUCACAACAAGCACAUGCUGUCGGGUUUGUUGGGUAUGCUUCCAGGAACAUGGGCUUAUGUUAGUGCUGGUGCAUUUGGGAGAUCUAUAAUUGCUGCAAAGAAUCUUGUAGCUGUGGCGGCGGCCACACUUUCAGUUCCUGCUUUCAGGGCACCUACUACAAAUAUACCUUCUGGAUCAGAGUCCUCCCAUCUGGGCACUGCAGUCGUCCUUGCACCGUCACACACAGCGUCGGAGACACGAACGAGGUCGAGCAGUCCGUGUCUUCGUCCUCUUCCCUUGGCGUGUGGAACCUGAUAUAAACAAGAGGCCAAACAAUAUGUGGCAUCUUCAUCGUCGUCCUCUCGUGUGGCACCGGAGAGAUGGACAAGGAGGCCAAUAGCUGGAAGUGCGGCAGACUGUAAUGCUUUGGUUGAUGAGGAAUUAUCUUUGUACAUAGUGGUUUGUUUGAUGGGACCCAUCUGGCACCGCCGAGCUUCCGCUCAAGCGGCGUGCCAUGGGGGCGCCCCAACCUCUAGUGUGUGUGUAUAUAUAUAUAUAUAUAUAUAUAUAUAUAUAUAUAUAUAUAUAUAGCAGGAGUCUCGGUGCUUGCUUUAUUAGGGUUCCUCUCUUUCACUCUCAUGCUCUCCAGAUCUAAAAAAUGCAUAGGUGGCCACACACACUCUUUCUCUGCUCAUGGCUGGUCACAAAUCCGGCGUAACCACCUCGACCAGGGAAGGGGUGUAGGUGCGUCGUCCAUGCAGUCGUCGACGGUGAGGGAGGAGACCAACAGCUGCCCGCGUGUUCUGAUCGACGGCCGUGCCAUUCUCUCCGAGAUAGCGUCGGAUCGGGAGGGCCUUCGACCCCUUCUUCCUCCCCGUGGUAUUGUGGCCAAGAUGCGGCCUCCAGACGUCGUCUUUGCCACGUGCCGACGACCCUCGGGUAUAUAUUCCUUCGAAACCGACCUUUCUCUACUGCCUCAGUUCCUCACGUGGCUGCGUGUGCAUAUUUUUCUACUCCCGUCGACUAUUCACGUGGCUGCGUGUGCAUAUUUUUCUACUCCCGUCGACUAUUCCAAAGCCACGUAGACUUUUACUAUUAUUAGAGGUAGUUCAUACAGUCGAAUUUAAGGGUUGAUUCAAAUAGGGAAGAAAGUGGGAAAUCUAUAACAUGAAUUUAGGACAUGAUUCUAAGAGGAAAUGGGGAAAUGUAGCAUGAAUCUAGGACAUGAUUCUAAGAGGAAAUGGGGAGAAAGUAAUGGAUACUGGCUACCCAACUGCUCCCUUGGUUGAAAAGGUGAAGAAAGCAUGGUGGAUGGCGAAGAGUGGGGGAAGUGGACCUGUCUCUUUGGUUGAAAAAAGGAAAGGAAGUGAGGGGCGUUGGGGGACAACACAAAUGAGAACGAGCAGCUCUAGAUUUCCUGUGCUCACAUAGGAAAAUGUCACCGAGGAGAUAAAAAAUGGGACAAAUGCAGACAUGCUGCCUGAGUGUUUGCUGCUUUGGGCAACCACAUUUGCCUCACCAAUUUAUGCCCCUGCUAUCCCUACGCCUAUAUCGCUACCGUUAAUGUAAAAUCACAUAAACUAUUAAGCAAUGCCACCUAAUGUCACUAUUAAGUAAUGGUCUAGUGCUGUCGAUAAAUUGAAGCAAUGCCACCACCAUUUUAUUUCCCAUGAAUUGUGUUUUUGUAGUCACACUUAAAUCUCACACCGCUAGCAUUGCUUCAUCCCAGUGGAACUGCAAAAUUUUGAUUGCACAUUUUAUGACCAUGUGCUAUUCUCAUGACAGUAAUAUUAAUGCUACUGUUCUGCAUGUUAAUCUAGUGACAGUGUUGAUGUGAUGUGAUGCUACUUCUUACUUAAGGGCAUUUUCAUACUGUCAAUGUAGUGCCAAUUAUAACACAAUAGAUGCUGAUGUUAAUCAUAUGCCACUGCAAAUAACUGUCACUAUUUAAAUAACCGUAUUUCAUAUUUGCGGAAACAAGGAUGUGUGUCUCCAUAUCGUUUCUAUCAGCGCAAUCAAAAGUACACACCUCCGUUUUAGUAGAACUGCACAAAAUGAGAUGGCUAUUCCUAGCUGCCGUUGCCUAACCACCUAUCUUCCAGGUAUUCCUACAUAGGUAGUGACUAGGUAGAAUGGCCAACGCAAUCUGAAAGAAGCUGAAUCAUACAUUUUACUUCCUAACUGCAGUGCAGGGACGAGCGAAAACAAUUGUAUCCUAGUCGGGAAUGCACUUUCUCCCAAUUCAUCCAUGGACGGAGGACUAGCUAGCAUGGCUGCAUGAAGGUUUUUGGGACAGGUGCACGAACAAAAGGCAUUAUGGUCUGCUUAUUUCUGCAAAUAGCAGUGCUUAAAUUUAGUAGAACUGCACAAAAAGUUUAGAUGUUCAAUACACUACAUGGUUCAGUUCAGCAUUCCAAUUAAGAACACAAUUAUAAUUGGUUAUUUUGAAAUGAAAGAACCUAACCUUGGAUGGUGGCAAUAUUCCAACUAAGAACACAAUUAUAAUUGGUUAUUUUGAAAUGAAAGAACCUAACCUUGGAUGGUGGCAACAAGAAAAACCAGAGUGAACUCCAGGAAAGUAAAGCCUGCCUAGGGAGGCCCUUUGCUCAGAGAAGCAUUGCUUGAUUUUUUUCUGAUUUGUAAACCUUUUCACAACUUUGUCUUUUGCUAUGAACUAGUAAAUAUUUGUUAUGUUCUAUGAAUCAUUGAGAUGUAUAAAAUUUCUUAACUUAUGCUUUUCAAGUAUUUUAUGAAGCUGAGUUUAAUGUGCAUGUUC
Non-coding RNA from Triticum urartu, 4871 nucleotides. The record is from RefSeq and is a predicted model, not a curated record. Lineage: Eukaryota; Viridiplantae; Streptophyta; Magnoliopsida; Poales; Poaceae.